RNAcentral lists this ribosomal RNA (118 nucleotides) under Phocaeicola vulgatus. RNAcentral's name for it is "Bacteroides vulgatus partial 16S ribosomal RNA". It matches the Rfam family "Bacterial small subunit ribosomal RNA", at positions 1 to 105 of the family's 1533-position model. The record is from RNAcentral. Lineage: Bacteria; Pseudomonadati; Bacteroidota; Bacteroidia; Bacteroidales; Bacteroidaceae. RNAcentral also lists the same sequence under 1 other name.
UAUUACAAUGAAGAGUUUGAUCCUGGCUCAGGAUGAACGCUAGCUACAGGCUUAACACAUGCAAGUCGAGGGGCAGCAUGGUCUUAGCUUGCUAAGGCCGAUGGCGACCGGCGCACGG